UAUAAGCUUUGUCCAGAAUAUGUGGACAGCGACCAAUGGCGUGAACUUGUCAACUAUUGGAAAUCCAAAGAAGGAAGGGCAGUUAGUGAGAAGAACAAAAUUAGCCGAGCAUCUGUGAAAACAUCUCAUACAGCUGGUACAAAGAGUUAUGCUCGUUGGGCUGAGGACCUUCGACAAGAAGAUCCUGAAAAGAAACAACCACAUAGAGCGAAGGUUUAUUUAGCGACUCAUAGAAAAAAAGAUGAAGAAAGAAAUAAACAUGUGGCUGACUUGGCUGACUUGGAAAAGCUAAUACAUAAUGAACC
This is a long non-coding RNA of Lolium rigidum, 305 nucleotides long. RefSeq lists it as uncharacterized. Lineage: Eukaryota; Viridiplantae; Streptophyta; Magnoliopsida; Poales; Poaceae. The record is from RefSeq and is a predicted model, not a curated record. The transcript is spliced from 4 exons.